AGUUGUUUUAUUGCGCCUAUGACUUGAAUCUUAUCAUCAGUUGUAGUGAUGGGAAGUUCGGAUCAUUUUACCGAAUCGGACUUUUGAGUCUCGUUCAGCAAAAUGAAUGAAUCUUUUUUCGAGUCAUUUCAAAUGAACGAACAACCCGAAGGUUCAGGAAGAAAAAAACAGAGUGCUUGCAGUCUGUUUCACAUUAGGAGGCAUUUUGCUACAUAAUCGAUCCACCACUGACCAUAUGCAACUAUAGAAGCUCAACUUCCAUUAAAUGGACUUAAAACGCUCAAGAGACACUUUGACAAGUGGGCACUGGAUGCUGAGUAUGGAAGGCGAGGUGGUGUGUGAGGGCACUCAGCCCAGUUUCCUGUCCGGCCUUGCCACUCUGUUUGCUGCUUAUUACUAGUUUAAUCUUGAGUAUCAGGAGGAAGCAGUGUGUACCUUGGAGUUCAUUCAAAGGUGCUUUGUGGCCAUAAAUCCGGAGAGAGGAUCCAAAGCCAAGGGAAAAGUACCAUCGAAAUAAAAACAGGACAAGUGAUACAGAAGAAAAUGUGUGGCAGUCAACCCACAUGUUGCCACUCUUCUGUGCAAAUUCCAAUGGAAUUUCUGAAAUUCACACUUUGAAUCCUGGGAUGGAACUUCAUCUGGAGCAUAAUUGUUAUUUGGUUGAUUUUUAUCUGUUUGAUGGAAAGUUUGUAUGACUUGUUUGGCCAUAUUGGUCUAUUCUUUAAGUGAUGAAAGCUAUCUGAAAACGUCUUUGUGGUUUUUAAAGGAUUAGUUCACCCAAAAAUGAAAAUUAAGUCAAUAAUUACUUAUGUCGUUCCACACCCGUAAGAUCUUCGUUCAUCUUCACAACACACAUUAAGAUGUGGUUCAGUGAAGCCUGCAUUUCUAGCAAGAUCAUUUCUUUUUUCAAUGCCCAGAAAGCCUCUAAAACAUUUAAAACAAUUAAUGUGACUACAGUUGUUCAAACCUAAAUAUUAUAAAGCGACGAGAAUACUUUUUCUGCCAACCCCCCAAAACAACUAUUUUAUUCAACCAUAUCUAGUGAUGGGCGGUCUCAAAACACUGCUUCAUGAAGCUUAGAAGCUCUACGAAUCUUUUGUUUCAAAUCAUUUGCUCAGAACGUGUAUCAAACUGCAAAAGUCACAUGAACUAUUGAAAUGUCAAAACACUUAUGACAUAACGAAGCCUCAUUUACUGAAAUCAUGUGACUUUGGCAGUUUGUUAUGCUCUCAUUUGAACUGAAAGAUUAAUAAAGCUUCG
Molecule: long non-coding RNA, 1260 nt
Organism: Carassius gibelio (silver crucian carp)
Lineage: Eukaryota; Metazoa; Chordata; Actinopteri; Cypriniformes; Cyprinidae
Exons: 4
Source: RefSeq, a predicted model, not a curated record